This 466-nucleotide ribosomal RNA is filed under the name uncultured bacterium. Its description in RNAcentral is "partial 16S ribosomal RNA". It matches the Rfam family "Bacterial small subunit ribosomal RNA", at positions 339 to 795 of the family's 1533-position model. The record is from RNAcentral.
CUACGGGGCGCAGCAGUGAGGAAUUUUGCGCAAUGGGCGAAAGCCUGACGCAGCAACGCCGCGUGAGUGAUGAAGGAUUUCGGUUCGUAAAGCUCUGUCAAGUGGGAAGAAGUUAUCAUGUAUAAAUAGUGCAUGGUAUUGACGGUACCACUGAAGGAAGCACCGGCUAACUCCGUGCCAGCAGCCGUCGGUAAUACGGAGGGUGCAAGCGUUAUUCGGAUUUACUGGGCGUAAAGGGCGCGCAGGCGGCCUGAUAAGUCAGAUGUGAAAGCCCGGGGCUCAACCCCGGAAGUGCAUUUGAAACUGUCAGGCUUGAGUAUGGUAGAGGGAAGUGGAAUUCCAGGUGUAGCGGUGAAAUGCGUAGAUAUCUGGAGGAACACCGGUGGCGAAGGCGACUUCCUGGACCAAUACUGACGCUGAGGCGCGAAGGUGUGGGUAGCAAACAGGAUUAGAUACCCGCGUAGUC